RNAcentral lists this ribosomal RNA (253 nucleotides) under uncultured bacterium. RNAcentral describes it as "partial 16S ribosomal RNA". It matches the Rfam family "Bacterial small subunit ribosomal RNA", at positions 524 to 776 of the family's 1533-position model. The record is from RNAcentral.
UACGUAGGUGGCAAGCGUUAUCCGGAAUUACUGGGCGUAAAGCGCACGCAGGCGGUUCGUCAAGUUCGACGUGAAAGCUCCCGGCUUAACUGGGAGAGGUCGUUGAAAACUGGCGAGCUUGAGGCAAUGAGAGGGGUGUAGAAUUCCCGGUGUAGUGGUGGAAUGCGUAGAUAUCGGGAGGAAUACCAGUGGCGAAAGCGGCACCCUAGCGUUGUUCUGACGCUCAUGUGCGAAAGCGUGGGGAGCGAACGGG